UACGUAGGGUGCGAGCGUUGUCCGGAAUUAUUGGGCGUAAAGGGCUCGUAGGCGGUUUGUCGCGUCGGGAGUGAAAACCAGGUGCUUAACACCUGGCCUGCUUUCGAUACGGGCAGACUGGAGGUAUGCAGGGGGAGAACGGAAUUCCUGGUGUAGCGGUGAAAUGCGCAGAUAUCAGGAGGAACACCGAUGGCGAAGGCAGGCUCGU
This 208-nucleotide ribosomal RNA is filed under the name uncultured bacterium. RNAcentral describes it as "partial 16S ribosomal RNA". It matches the Rfam family "Bacterial small subunit ribosomal RNA", at positions 524 to 730 of the family's 1533-position model. The record is from RNAcentral.